CGACGGCCGGGGCUCGGCGGCGGGCCGGGCUGGGCGCGCGCCGGGAGAGGAGGAUGCGCCCCGCGCUGGAGUAGAGUUAAAGGCAGCGAUUUCCCUGCUGGACAAGGAAGGAGAUGCUGGCUCUGGAGCAGGGAACUUCAGGUGCCUGUUGAAAUGGCAGAUGGGGACAUGUGCUGGAGUCUUCUGGGGAGCUGCAUUGACCAGAUGGGAUUUUGGUGCCUGUUUUGGAUGCGGGAAAAGGGGAUGCCCUCAAUCAAGGGCUGCAUAGCAAAGCAGGAUUUGCCAGUUCCUGUAUGCCGAUGGGAAUCGUGUUCUGGCUCCUUGACAGUGCUAUAGGAGAAGCUGAUGCUCUGAACAGUGAGCCUGAGGAGCAAGAUAGUGUGGAUUGCCUCCUGCCUUGCCUCUUCUCCCAGCUGCCUGCGGUGAGCUCUCGCGUGCCAGAGGACGAGGGUGGAGGAGAGCAGCCACGUGAAGCUGGGACAGUGUGGCUGAGCCAAAGGGCUUUUGACCUGUGGGCUGUGGCAACUGGGGGUCCUCACCACCCUGCAGCAGAGACAAGUGGCUCCUGCCAGGUAGAUGCCUUCAGGGGAGUGGCCAACUCCAGCUGAGCUGAUGAAUCUUGGCACCUGAUACAAGGCUCAGCUUCUGAUAUGAAGAAGGAUAUAGAGUCUUUAAUAGCCCAGGAAAAAGCAGAAAUCGUCGCCAAGUAUGAGAAGGGCAGACAGGAAGGAGCUCAGAUUGACCAGUGGGAAGAUGCUGAUUUCACCCUCUACAAAGUUACAGACCGGUUUGGAUUCCUGCACGAGCAGGAGCUGCCAACCCGCACCGCCUUGGAAGAGAAGCAAAAACAGCAGGAAAUAGAACGUGUGGACAAGUGGCUUAAGAUGCUGAAGAAGUGGGGCAAAUACAGAAACAGUGACAAGAUGUGCCGGCGUGUGUACAAAGGGAUUCCGCUUCAGGUGCGAGGCCAGGUCUGGUCACUUCUGCUGGAUGUCGAGAAGAUGAAGAAGGAGAAUGAAGGAAAAUAUGAGCAAAUGAAAGAACAAGCAAAGAGUUUUUCAUCGGAAAUCAAGCAGAUAGAUUUGGAUGUGAACCGCACCUUCCGAAACCACAUCAUGUUUCGGGAUCGCUACGGGGUGAAGCAACAGGCGCUCUUCCACGUCCUGUCAGCAUACUCAGUUUAUAACACUGAAGUGAGCUACUGCCAAGGGAUGAGCCAGAUUGCAGCCAUCCUCCUGAUGUACUUGAAUGAAGAGGACGCGUUCUGGGCGCUGGCACAGCUGCUCACCAACCAGCGCCACGCCAUGCACGGUUUUUUCAUUCCUGGGUUCCCGAAGCUGCAGAGGUUUCAAGCCCACCAUGAGCAAAUUUUAAACAAACUGUUCCCCAAACUGAAGAAGCACAUGGACAAGGAGCAGAUGACCACCGGAAUUUACACAACCAAGUGGUUCCUGCAGUGUUUCAUUGACCGGACCCCAUUCACGCUGACCUUGCGGCUGUGGGAUAUCUACAUCCUGGAAGGGGAGCGGGUGCUGACAGCCAUGGCUUACACCAUCCUCAAACUGCACAAAAAGCGCUUGCUGAAGAUGGCACUGGAAGAUUUACGUGAAUUUCUGCAGGAGAAAAUUGCUGCUUCCCUGCAGUACGAGGACGAUGCUGUCAUCGAGCAGCUGCAGGUGUCAAUGACUGAACUGCGCAAGAUGAAGUUUGACCUGCCCCCACCAGCAAAGCCUGAGGAGUUUCCAAGGAAACCCCUGGGCCUGGAGCUCUCCCUCAACCCAGUAGCCAUAAAGGAAAACACAGCAGCCAAUGGCCAGAAUGGCCAGGUGGGUGAGCACACCCCAGACAGGGAGCCCCAUCGCCACAAAGUUCCUGGCACACCAGGAGGAGUGACAGUGGUGGAAGCGAGGAUUCUCACCUUCCAGGGUAGUGAAGCAGCCGAAGCAACAAACGUGCCCGUUCCAGGUGGGCAGCCACCAGAUGAGGAGGGUCAGGUGGAGCCCAUCAUGGACGGGCAGCCAUCAUCUCUUCUGAAGGCAAGCGAGACGCAGGCCCAGCAACACCUCCUGCCCACAGUCCUGCCUCCAGAGCAGCCUCUUCUUGCUCCUGGCUGUGCCGUGGUGGACCAUGGAGUCUCCCUCCAUGCCCCAGCUGAGCACAGCUCCUUAGACUCCUCUCUCCAAAACAGGCCGGCUCCUCCUGACUCCAGCACCGCUGAGCUUUCCUCUACGGACCAGGCAGUGUGGCAGCCAAAUCCCGCUGCCCUGCCAGCAGGGGAACAGGCAUCUUCCCUGAGCAGAGACGCAGUGCUUGAAGCAGCCCCCCAUCCUCUGCCAGCCGGCUGCCAGCAGCUCUCCUGCACUUCACAGAGCGAUGGCUCCCCCGAGAGCGAGCGCGGGGAGGAGGCGGCGGAUGACAGGCACUGCAGGGCGGUGCUGCCGGACAAAAUGGGCCUGAAGCACUCGGCAUCCAAAGCCGCAUCCACAGGAGAGCUCCUCAGCCUGCAGCACAAUGGGCUGGGCAGUGCCACCAGCAGCACGCACUGGCCCGAGGCCGUGGGCGUGCUGCCCGCGCACAGGCAGGCAGGGGGCAGUGUGCCCAUCUUGUCCAGCAGAGAGCCGGAGGCAGCAGGGAUGGCCGAGGGCUGCCCCACCCAGCGGGCACCGUCCCCUCUGGUGGAAGGGAACAGCCCCUAUGUCGUUAUCAAAACCACCACUCCACUCCACCUGGCCCACGCGACAGAGCAGGACUUCUUGAACAGAAAGCAGGUGGCAUUGCCUCUGUCAGAGACUGGACAUCCUCUGCCUACCACCUCCAUGCCACCACCUCUCAUGGCGGACCCAGAGGAGGCAGAGGUCCAGAAAAGCCUCCAGAAACCAUUAAAUGCACUGAAAGCCCCACGACCCCCGCUGAGCCCCAAACCAAAAUUACCGCCGCAGGUUGCCAAAUCCCGCUCAGAGAACAGUUUCCUUUCAGGCUCUCCUUCCAUGGCAAAGCUGCCCAAAUCGGUGACGUUCUAGUGGGGAUGGGGAAGGGGAAGUUAAGGGAGAAGAAGUGGGUUCUGGAGAAGCACCCUUGCCCCAUUUGCAGGAUCCCCUUCUGUCAGCAGGGCUGUUAGGGUGACAGCACAGCACCAUUGCACAUCAAGCUGUGCUUUGGUACGAGCGCCCAGCGAAGAGACGAAGCGGUGCCCACCAGCGCUAGGAGACACCAGCAGAUUGGAUUUGCAUGUUUCCUGUGGACAAAUUGGAAAAUGCUUUCAUUUUUUGUUCCUCAAAGCUCCCCAAGUCUCAUCACUUGGGGGAAGAGGCAGGGCUGGUGGGUUUGUUGCGUGUUUUCUCCUGCUCCUGUCUGCUGUGGGAACCCACGACCAAGCAAGCAGGCACAAGGUGUCAGAAUCCGAAACGCUUUCUUUACAACGCCCCAUCGGCACAGCUACAGCAUUGCUUUCAAAGGCCUUUGUAGCAAUAGAUCUUUAUUUCGUUUCCCAGACCUGCAGUUGUAGGCAGCAGAAUUUCCAGGCACUGCCAUGGCAUCCUGGCAGGACACAGGCAGCCCGCUGCCCCCUCUAUGCAAUUCCACAAAGCAGUGCCCGGCUGUGUCUGGCUUCUGCUGCUGUGGUGGAUGGUGUUUAGGAGGACAGAUUUAACAGCUGCUGAGUCCCUUGGACAUCUCCUUGGUCACCCCAGUGUGGAGCUGCCAGCAGAGUGGUUCUUUCCCAGGUUCUCAGGGUGACAAGGACAGUGACAAAGGUGGAGCCUGGUCUCUUGGGCUGAGUGCCCUUUCUGCUGGCCUUUCCUUCCCAGGGCCAGUGCAGCGAGCAGGCUCGCUGCCUUUCUGUUCCCCAAACAGGAAAAGGGGCUGCUGGCUCGGGAAACCUGCCUGCACUACCAAGCUGCUGGACAUGUGAUGGCAUCCAAUCACAGUGCCCCAGAUAAGUCCACUUUUGCUUUGAGUUAAAAUCUGGCUUGAAACACCACAGAAAAACAAAAAGAAAGCCCCAGCACCACUGAACACUACAGUUUACUGUCACAGAAGCAGCCUGAGGAUGCAGCUCUUCACACAUCUGUGCCAUUUCACACUGGAUGCCAGCACAGGGAUGCAGCACUGUGACCAAGGGUGAGAUCCCCAGGCUGGAGAGAAGCAAACCUCAUCCCUCCUGUGUUCCAGGUGCUCAUAAGCAGCCUCAUUGCACAUGCUGCUUUGUGUCACCUCCCAGCCACCAGCUCCUGUGAACCUGUUGGCUCUCAGGCAGUGCCAGCUGGGACCAGGUUUGAACAUCUGCCAUGGUUACUUACGUGAUAGGGAGUGCAGGGUUCAGAAAUGGCAUUUAUCCAACUGCUUAAACAGCAUCCCUGUCAAGGAGAGAGCAGAAGUGUCCAGAAGGGCAGCUUCCUCAAGAGAAGCACAUUCCCAAGUAUAAAGCAGUAUAUGGAGAAAAUAACAGCCUGGCAGUUUAAAGAGGCAGGUCUGACAGCUUCCCAAACCAUCUCCCAAAUCCUACUGCCUCAGCAGCUAAGGAGGCCCACAGGGCAUACACCAGCAUCCUCUUCACCUAGAAGGAUGUGGACACCAGGAUACCACCAAACAUCUCACCAGGAGAUGCAGCAGGUGGACCCAUCCCAUGGGCAUCCUUACUCCCUGGCAGCAUUUACAAGAGUCCAAGAUGGGGAUGGAGAAGACUUAGAAGGCACACAUGAAGACACAAGUCCAAGAAACUGGAGUCACUAAAUCCUGGCUAUUCUUCCACACAGUAAAACAGGCUCCUCCUAAGACACAGAGAAAAGUAAACUAAGAAAUUUCCAAUUUUGUCCAAAACUGGUAUGAGCUCCCUUAGAGGUACCUGUGGCUACAUGGGAUGAAGUAUCACAUGCCCCACUUCCAACCAUCCCAUUAAGAACCUGGGCCACUCUGGUGCCCUGGAGGCUGCUCAGCCUGGCCUCACAUCAGAGCCCUGCUCCUGGGACAUCUAAGCCUACAGGCUUAGAUAACCUCAGGCUUGGGGAAGCUGUUUCUUGAGUGGCUUUGCUUACCUUUAUGGUGAAGGCAAGAAGUGAUACAGAAGUACUGCUUAGGCUGGAAAGAUGUGCAACAGUGGCAGUAGUCCAGAUGGGAAACCUGGUCUGCUCCUCUACCAAACCACAACUGCAGGCGAGGAGGAUGAGGCCAGCAUUUAGCCAAAGCUGCUCUGUAAUACUCAGCCUUUCAUUCAGCUUCCCCCACCACCACCCUCACAUCUCAGGUCUCUCCCCAGCACUGAGUCAUUGCUGCCAGCUCCUGCACAACCCAGGUCUUUGCCAAAGCCCUCAGCAAGCACUGUGCACUCACCUGCUUUGGAGUCGCCCUCUCUGCUGGCUUAGGAGAAUGCUCCUGUGGAAGCCCUCACAGACCAAAAGGCAUGAGAUCUGUUCCAGCACUUGAUCAGCAUCUUUAAGGACUUGUAAGCAAUUCUGGCAGUUGACUCAGCUGUGAUGUCUCUGGAGCCCCAACCCCUCUGUAACAGGGUGUGGGGCACUUGAAUGAUGUGAGAGAAGAACACGUGUUAUACGCCUGUCCUGAGACAUCUGGACCUGACCAGACUAGAACAGACCUCAUCAGCUCUUCUGUAAUUUAAGUACGGGUUCAAAGGUGGCACUCCUCCAUCAUCGGAUAUGCAGUCUCAACAUAAUCAGUAGGAGGCUGACUGAAGCCAUCUCAGAGCUGGUUUUCACACUGGCUGGAGAUCCACAGCACAGCACAAAUUUAGUUCAGUUUUGGCAUGGCCAGCUGAAGUCAUCACAACAGCCAGAGAUGAGCUGAUGUACUCAAAUAUAGCAAAAAGCUCACCUCUGUGGACUCUUCCAGCUUCAGCUAUGCAACAGGAAUAAUCAAAAUACAUUCUGCUCGCCCAAGCUGUGCUUCUGAAGCAGAACUGAGGUACACAACAGAAUCCUUGUCAUAAGGGAAAUAACUGCAGUGUCUGAAAAUUUCAUCUUAACCCCCCAAUUUCUUCUCCAAACCUACAUUAACUCCAGGGAAACUGUAAUCCUGGUAUUACUUUCAGACUCGAGAAGUUCAGCUAGCACAUCAGAACACAUGGUGAGCUCAUGUACCGAUGUCCUGCCUGUCAGGGGCCAGCAAGAUGAUGUCCUAUCCCCAGAUCAUCAGCACCAAGGUAGCAAGUGAAAAAGCUAAGUCAAGAGUAACAGCUCCACCUGAGAGAAGUGAUACAAUCUGGUUUUUGCCAACAGCAAAGAUCAGACCAGAUCACAGCUGAGGCAUCUUGAUCUGUGGUGAUUUUCCUCCUGGAACAAAGAUGCAGUACGACAAUACAAAGUUAAUAUGUGGUUUUUGGAGACGAUCUGUGGUGUCAAGCUUUUCACACCUCCUUUUGCUCCUAACCUACCUCCAACCUUUGGCAUGGACUUGAACAAUGACCUGAGUCUGGAUUUCUUGUGACCCAGUUACAGUAAAAAACUAACCAGCUCUUGUGAUAGUCUGUCACUGACCAGGACUGUCUGACAAGCUUGAAAAUCUUCCCGAGUGCAGAAACCUCUCUGAAAGAUGCUAUUACUUCAACUUCCUGCUCCUCACCAAACUCUUCUAAGUAGUUGAUAUUCUGGCCAGUGCUGUUCUAGCAUAGCCUCACCAAGAUGUGCCAGUUUCUUGGAACUGCAGCUAUUACCUGCCCUGUGAAGACACCUUGGCCCUGGCACUCCCUGGAGCUCUUCAGCUUCCUUGACUGCAGCUCCCAGUAUUUGGCAUUUGUCUCCCAGCCAGAAAUGAUGGGAGACUCUCAGUGGUUAGAGCCACCAGGUCCCUGAGAGAGCCCCAGAGUGUUACUUCUCCUCUGAAGACCUCCAGAUAGAUCUAUCCCAUCCUUCACCAAGGGCCUGAGGAAGGAAGGGGUAAGUUCUACUGCAGAUGAAGAGCACCAGGUUCCUAGUGCAGUAACACUACCAAGCAAGGGCCCCCAUGUCAUCUUCUAGAAGGACAAAGUACUGCUGUCCUGUGGCCAGUUGUGCACAAGAUGCCAACUUUAGGAACAACCCCCAUCCGUCCAGUCUUCACACUUGAAACAACUCAGAGUGGGAGUUCAGCACUAGGUUCAGCAUCUUCAGCAGUCCUUCGGCACAGGGACAGACACUGCUGUAAACAGCACACCCAGCUAAAGGCAGGGCACUCUCCCCUCAGGUAACUUCUCCCACUCCAGGAGCUGGUAUCAGCCCUUCUGCAGGAACAGGGUGCCAGGCAGCUGCAGCCAGGGUGGGGGCUGUGCCCUACAGCAGUUCAGAGCAGGUAUUUACAGAAAGCAAGCCAUUAGCACAAGUCCUCUCUUGCCCAGGCCAAAAGCAAAGACAGUACCCCCGAGGAGCAUGGGAGUUGAAUUCUGUUGCUUUAAUUCUGCUGCUGCCUGGCAUGAUGGAGGAUGGGGAGUGGGAUGGGAGGUUGCUUGCAAGGAUGCUGGGAAACCCUGGGUGGGCUGUGGCUUUGUGCUGGGGGUGACCAGGGUUUCUUUACUGGUUUUGCCACGUGAGGCAUGUGACUCACACCACCCUUGCUGCUCCCAACCCAGACCAACCUUGGCUGCCAAACCCAGCACCUCUUCAGGCCUGGGCUAGCCCAUGCAGAACAGCUCCCUGCCACACUCACCUGGAUCACCUUCCCCCUUUGAUGCUUCUAAUUCUGGAUGCCAGGUAAAUUAGCCUGUGCAAUAGCUUGGAAGAGGGAAAGACAACGAGUACUGAGCUACCCACUGCACUGAAUGCAAUGCCUUGUCUUGGGGCUGCAAGUAAAAGACACGUAGGUCAGACCUCAGGCAAAAACUCCAAAGGAGCAGAGCUGAGCAGACAGGGUUCCCAACAGAUUAGCCCUAAUCCAAAACACUCUUACCCACUUGAAACCCAGGGACUGAAAGCCUGAAUCCUUUAGUCUUAGUUGCUGAGCAGCCUUAGGCUUCUGCAGUACAGGAGAGCCCUUCUCAACAUGCUCACCAGUCAGGAAGCCGUGCACAGGGUAGACAAGGAUUUGCUUACCUGUACAUACUGGAGCAGCCCAAGGUGUAUGUGCUACACAGGUGUUAGCAUAGCUAGGGCUGGAGGGGACCAAAAAGUCCCAAUUAUACCUCUACAGCACAACACAUGAGAGAAGUCUUGUGCCAGAAAGAGCUGACAGGAAAGGAAUCAGGGAAGGAACAAACUGGUACCAACUGAGGUGAAACCAGCUCUCCAGUCUCCUCGCUGAUGCUUCUUCCCUUCCAGGCAUUGUAUCUGAGGCCAUAAAUCCCACUAGGACUAGGCAAAAGCAAAGUACUCAAGAGAUGCCAAGAACAGGCUUGGACUGGUUGCACUCUUCCACCCUCCCAAAACUUGGGGCCAGCAGAGUUCCAGGUGGGCUGGGGAGGACAUAACAAAGACUUGCUGGAGACAGAGACAAGCUGUCUUGCCGUAAGAGCUUGUCUCUCCCACCCCAAUCACUUCCAUGAUCUACAGCAUGACCUUGGUCUGUGAAGAGAAAAAUCUCAGCACUCUUUCCUCCCCGCCAUCCCACCAGUGAUCCUUCCAGAGCACCAGCAGCAGCAGCCUCUGGAAGGAGGACACAGCCAUCAAGGUGAUUUGUUGAGACAAUCAAAUAAUAAUUUACUGUGAUUCAAUCUGUGGCUUUGUACAGUUGCCGGGGUGGGAGGAGGCCAAAGGAUGAGGGGAUGGGGAUAAAAAAAAAAAAUUGUUUGCCGCAGGCUUGGGUGAAGUGCGAGAUAGUCCAUGGAGGGCCACAUGCUCCCCCUGUCCUCUUCC
This is an RNA transcript of Passer montanus (Eurasian tree sparrow), 8774 nucleotides long. It is a transcript of the gene named USP6 N-terminal-like protein, with no coding region annotated. Lineage: Eukaryota; Metazoa; Chordata; Aves; Passeriformes; Passeridae. The transcript is spliced from 19 exons. The record is from RefSeq and is a predicted model, not a curated record.